This 254-nucleotide ribosomal RNA is filed under the name uncultured bacterium. RNAcentral describes it as "partial 16S ribosomal RNA". It matches the Rfam family "Bacterial small subunit ribosomal RNA", at positions 524 to 776 of the family's 1533-position model. The record is from RNAcentral.
UACAGAGGUCUCGAGCGUUGUUCGGAUUCAUUGGGCGUAAAGGGUGCGUAGGUGGUUUGGUAAGUCGGAUGUGAAAUCCCGGGGCUCAACCCCGGAACUGCAUUCGAUACUGCUUUAACUUGAGUGCUGGAGAGGAGAUCGGAAUUUACGGUGUAGCAGUGAAAUGCGUAGAUAUCGUAAGGAAGACCAGUGGCGAAAGCGGCGCACUGGACCAUAACUGACGCUGAUGCGCGAAAGCUAGGGGAGCAAACAGG